AUAGGCUUUGUGGUUGGCUCCUUCUCCCUCAGGAAACUGCGGCCAACCGUUAGUACCAGCCCGCUGCAGCAGCUCUGGGAAUGGUGGCUGAGGGCUCCCCACCAUUCAGGUCUGGUAACUCCUCUCUGCUUCUGAACUGUCUCUUCCUUCCCUUGCCCCUCAGUUCAUUUUUUAAGCUUGCCUUUGAUGCUCAGGGCUCCUAGCUUGUCAUAAAUAUACUAGUUUUACUUGUGUUUUUGGGUCUUUGCUGUAAAGAGGGCUCUGCAGAAGUGUGUGUCUAUUCUGCCAUCUUGGCUCCACCUCUGCUGUGUGCAGCACUUUUAUAUGUUGCUUUGGAAUCUGAUAUAUCAGGCUGCUCUAACUUCCGUUGCCCAAGUCCAACCAGGAGCAAAGCAAAGAUUCCAGUGAACAAAUGAUACAUAAAGAGGCAACAUUCAGUAAUUUCAUCAGUCUCUCGUCUACACUGAAAUGGCUGGGAGACAACUCACAAGCCAGAGGAAAGAGAAGAGGAAUGCUUCCAGCAGUGUCAUCCUGUCUGCCAGGUGGGCUCCCCAAGGAGAAGGUAAGGAAGAACAGCCCAUUAGCUAGAGGUCUUAGGUCAGUGGCAGGCAGGCAGCGCAGGUUCUGACUUCAGGUAAGAAGUGGUGGCUCAGGUGGUUUCCUGGGACCCUUCAUGAUCUGCUAUGCAGUUUGGGGGUUUCCUAAGCUUAUGAAUGCUGUGUAGAAGAAAUCCCUGGUAUGAAUGUGUGUGUCUGGGGAUAGGGAAGCAUUCCUUUUCUCUUUCCACUGGGCUUGUGAGUUAUUGUUUAAAGGACGCUGAGUCUUUGAGGUGCUAUAAAACUUUUGGAAGUGGACAGUGGUGAUGGUAACACAACAUUGUAACUGUAAUUAAUGUCACCAAAUUGUACAUUUAAAAAUAGUUAAAAUGGCAAGCCUUUUAUUAUAUGUAUUUUACCACAAUAACACUAAGAAAAACAUACAAACACGGACUUCUUCCCUCUCAUCACUUUAACUCUCUAAGCUUUAAUAUAUUUAUCUCUAAAAUGGGUUAAUAAUACAUACAUGGAUGUUGUAAGAAUUACAUGUGAAAAAAUAUGUGUAGUACUUCUAGAGUUCUUGAUACACAAUGAAUGAUUUCCCCCUCAGCCUGAGUCAUCCACAGCUAGUAGAAGUCUCUGACGCUGUUAGGAUGAAUGGCGCCAGAACUCAACAUCAGAAAUGAACUUCCUUCAUUAGAAAGUUGUGUCAAGUGACGAUCUGGAAAGAUCACGGUUAGGAAUGCUUCCUACUAAAAGUGGGGCUGAUGUUCCAAGAUGGCUUCCAGCAAAGCUCCGGAAGUGCUGCUGAGAAGAGAAGGCUGAGGCUGGGAACACAGCUGCUAGUCAGACUGAAAUGACUGGGAGGCAACUCACAAGCCCAGAGGGAAGAGAAGAUGAAUGUUUCCAGCAGUGGCAUCCUGUCUGCCAGGCGAGGAGAAGAAAGAGCACCCUGUUAGCUGGAGAUCUCAGAUACCUUAUUAUUGCUCUGUGCUGCUCUUUGGAGUAUUACAGGAGACAGCCAUGUAACAAAGCCUUCGGGAACAAGAAAGAAUGAAGAACUCAAGAUACAAGGAAACGAUUAGUCCAAGGGACUAAUGGACCACAUCUACCAUGGCCUCCACGAGACCGAGUCCAGUACAACCAGAUGGUGCCCAGCUACCACCACCGACUGCUCUGACAGAGAUCAGAAUAGAGGGUCCCAGACAAAGCUGGAGAAAAAUGUAGAACAAAAUUCUAACUCAAAAAGAAAGAUCAGACUUGCUGGCCUGACAGAGACUGGAGAAACCCUGAGAGUAUGGCCCCUGGACACACUUUCAGUUUAGUAAUUAGGGCAUUCCUGAGGUUCAACCUUCAGCCAAAGAUUGAACAGGCCCAUGGAACAAAAUAAGACUAAAAGGGCACACCAGCCCUGGAGCAGGGACUGGAAGGCAGGAGGGAAUAGGAAAGCUGGUAAUAGGGAACCCACGGUUGAGAAGGGAGAGUGUUGACAUGUUGUGGGGUUGUUAACCGAUGUUAUAGAACAAUGUGUGCACUAACUCUUUGAUGAGAAACUAGUCUGUUCCGUAAACCUUCAUCUAAAGUACAAUUAAAAAAAAUGUAUUAGUGGUUACCAGGGGAUUGGGGUAGGGCAGAAAGGCAGUUAUUGCUUAAAGGGUAUUGAGUUUCUGUUUGAGGUGAUAUAAAACUUUUAGAAAUGGAUAGCGGUGAUGUGGCACAACAUGGUGAAUGUAAUUCAUGUCACCGAUGUAUAUACUUUAUUUAAAAAUGGUAGAAAUUGCAAAGUUUUUGUUAUAUAUUUUUUACCACAACAAAAUUAAAAAAAUAAAAUAAAAACAUAUACUUCUUGUCUCUGAUCACUUUAACUCUCUAAGCUUUAAUUUCUUUAUCCGUAAAGUGGGAGGAAACCCUGGUGGUGCAGUGGUUAAGUGUUCGGCUGCUAACCAAAUGUCAACAGUUUGAAUCCACCAGGUGCUCCUUGGAAACCCUAUGGGGGCAGUUUUACUCUAUCCUAUACAGUCGCUAUGAGUCUGAAUUGACUUGAUGGGAAUGGGUUUGGUUUUUGGUUUUGUAAAAUGAGCAAAUAAUACUUACAUAUGUGGAUGUUGUAAGAAUUAUAUAUGAAAAUAUGUAUGUCAUAUAUCUAGGGUCUUGGUACACCAUUAUCCCCUCCUUCAACCUGAGUCAUUCACAGUCAGUGGAAGUCUGAGGUGGUGCCAGGAGGAUGAAUGGGACCUGAACCUAGCUAUGACCCCAGACACCACCUUACUAUAUUAGGAAGACAUGUUAACUGAAGAUCUGGGAUGAUCAUGAUCAGGAAUGUUUUCUGCCUAAAAUGGGGCUGUCUGUGUGAGCGUAACACAAGAUGGCUUCCUGGAAAGCUUCAGAAGUGCUUCUGAGAAGGCAAGGCUGAGGCUGGGAGCCCGGCUGGGAAUUACUUGAGUUUGUCCCUGUUGGGAAAGAUGUGGGAGGGCAGAGACCCAAGAGAGGUUGUGGUGUAAGACCUUCCAGCACCUUUAGUGUUGUGGGUCCCAAGGCAGCACAGUAGUAAAUGGCCUUAUCCUCUUUCUCUGUGAAGUUUAUGGUCAAGAUGGAAGAAGACAUUUGAAUAUCUUUUUUUGCCACCAAUUUGUUCUUCUUCUCACCUAAGGGUGGGCUUUUGUUUGAGAGGAUAUAUGUCAGAAGUUCUAUAAUUUAACUUGGUUUCUGUCAUACCAAUAAAUAACUUUAUUUAUGAAGUUUACA
Molecule: long non-coding RNA, 3281 nt
Organism: Loxodonta africana (African savanna elephant)
Lineage: Eukaryota; Metazoa; Chordata; Mammalia; Proboscidea; Elephantidae
Exons: 3
Source: RefSeq, a predicted model, not a curated record